Molecule: non-coding RNA, 179 nt
Filed under: Oxalobacteraceae bacterium CAVE-383
Lineage: Bacteria; Pseudomonadati; Pseudomonadota; Betaproteobacteria; Burkholderiales; Oxalobacteraceae
Description: 6S / SsrS RNA
Rfam family: 6S / SsrS RNA
About the family: E. coli 6S RNA was the first non coding RNA to be sequenced, but its function was unknown until recently.
Source: Rfam by way of RNAcentral
CGCUUCCUGCCGUGUUCGCGAAUGCCAUAAAAUCCUUGAACCAUUUAUGCGCAUAGGUUACGGACAUUUGUUCGAUGGGCGUGCGCGUCGCUAGUCCGAUGAACCCGAAAUUGAACUGACUGUAGCCACCUUGAACCUUUGGUUCAGGAUGCCGGCAUAGCGGCACCGGCGGGAACCUU